This is a non-coding RNA of Cinara cedri, 213 nucleotides long. NCBI's taxonomy places the organism in Eukaryota, Metazoa, Arthropoda, Insecta, Hemiptera, Aphididae. The record is from the annotation of a GenBank genome assembly.
CUUUGACAAGUGGUAUUUAAAUGUUUAAUGGCUGAUUCGAAUAAAAUUAAAAAUAAAAAUUAAUUAAAUCGAAAAAUCAAUAAAGAACGUGUUAUAAAAACAGAAAUAAUUUGUUAAACAUUGUCGUAGGUUAAUUAUUCGGUAAUUUUGAUGGAUUCUGUUGGACAAAAAAAAAACAUUUUAAACUGAAUUUGAUUACAUUUAAAUAAAAAG